RNAcentral lists this ribosomal RNA (464 nucleotides) under Vreelandella stevensii. RNAcentral's name for it is "partial 16S ribosomal RNA". It matches the Rfam family "Bacterial small subunit ribosomal RNA", at positions 338 to 795 of the family's 1533-position model. The record is from RNAcentral. Lineage: Bacteria; Pseudomonadati; Pseudomonadota; Gammaproteobacteria; Oceanospirillales; Halomonadaceae.
CCUACGGGGUGCUGCAGUGGGGAAUAUUGGACAAUGGGCGAAAGCCUGAUCCAGCCAUGCCGCGUGUGUGAAGAAGGCCUUCGGGUUGUAAAGCACUUUCAGUGGGGAAGAAAGCCUUGGGGCUAAUACCCUCGAGGAAGGACAUCACCCACAGAAGAAGCACCGGCUAACUCCGUGCCAGCAGCCGCGGUAAUACGGAGGGUGCGAGCGUUAAUCGGAAUUACUGGGCGUAAAGCGCGCGUAGGCGGUCUGAUAAGCCGGUUGUGAAAGCCCCGGGCUCAACCUGGGAACGGCAUCCGGAACUGUCAGGCUAGAGUGCAGGAGAGGAAGGUAGAAUUCCCGGUGUAGCGGUGAAAUGCGUAGAGAUCGGGAGGAAUACCAGUGGCGAAGGCGGCCUUCUGGACUGACACUGACGCUGAGGUGCGAAAGCGUGGGUAGCAAACAGGAUUAGAUCCCCGGUAGUC